ACUUUUGGCCAUUGAAACAUUUCUGUUUUGUGGGCUUUGUUUGUUUGUCCCCCCCCCCAGAUCCCCCUUAUUGUGUCAUCGGAAGACACCGAUCUGUAAAUCCCGGUCCAGAAGUGCAUGCGUUUGUGACGAGACCUGUAGAGGUAAAACCCAUAAUCGCAUGCAUGCGCAGCCAUGUGCAUGCUGUGGUGGAAGCAUCCCUCGCUGCUGCAUGCAACAGGGUGCCAAGUCCAAGGUGGAAGUUCCAAGGUGGGGCAACAUUCUACUGCCAGGUACUACACACUUACACACUCAUUUUACACCUAGGGCAAUUCAGGGAGGUGGGAGCCAUACAGGAAACCCCAUACAGACAGUGGAAGAACCCACCAGCCUCACACACAGUAAUCUGAGCAAGGUUAUUUUUUCUAAAAUCUGCAUGAGCAAUGUGAACUUAGAAACCAACGAUAAGUGUAAAAAUGUCC
This 461-nucleotide long non-coding RNA is filed under the name Astyanax mexicanus (Mexican tetra). Its description in RNAcentral is "lncRNA (ENSAMXG00005010711.1)". The record is from RNAcentral. Lineage: Eukaryota; Metazoa; Chordata; Actinopteri; Characiformes; Acestrorhamphidae.